GCGCGCGUGGGGGCGAGCUGGGCCGCUUGCUGGACCGAGCGAGGGGAACCAGUGGUCUGGUUUCCAGGGGCUUCUCCCCUUUUCUUUUCUUUUUCUUUUCUGAUUUCUUUUUUUUUCCAAGACAUUUUCCAAAAGAGUUUUUUUUAAGCAAAACAAUUAAAAUAAAACCAGAACAAACAAUGCAAAAUAUCUAUGCUCCAGGAUGAAUGCAAAAUCACGUUUCUAAACUUGUGAUGAGUUUUAAUCUUCACAAAAUUAUUUGUUUGCUAGAUUCAAAUGCCCACAAAAAUACUUAAAUAAAUCAAAUUAAUUCCUAUUAAUUGAAAUAAAAAUUUUGGGUGUUACGGUACUUCUAGUAUUUACUUUCUAUCUUAGUUUAUUUUAAGUAUACAACCAGCCUACUAGCAUAUUGCUUUGCCUUGUGUGAAGUGCUCGAAACCUUACCUGGAUCUAGAGUAGUAGAAUUAGUGUAGACGUGGUGUCUAGACUAAGUCUGCCCUUGUGGACUUCUUGUCGCACCUGAAGAACGCCAGCAGCGAAGCGUGACUGGCCUUUGUUGGACAUUAGGUGUUCUCUUCAGUGUGUUGUUAGGCAAGUUGCAAAUAAUAGUUGGCCUACAUGGUAGAUGCCUAGGGAAGUGUUUUGCCACACCAUUUUCACCUAUCGGCCACGUAGGAAGGGAGUUAACUCUAAAUAUACUUAGGAUAGCUUAGCC
RNAcentral lists this long non-coding RNA (715 nucleotides) under Sorghum bicolor (sorghum). Its description in RNAcentral is "long non-coding RNA (SBIC_LNC015809)". Lineage: Eukaryota; Viridiplantae; Streptophyta; Magnoliopsida; Poales; Poaceae. The record is from RNAcentral.